CUUUACUGUUUUUUGAUAAACCAGUGGUAAAUUAGGGCCUACCUAGAACCUUCAAGGAGGUUGUGAAGGGUGAAUAGUUGAUGCAUGUUGAAAGUAGGCCCAAGGUGGAACCUUUUGUGAAGGAUAAAGAAGAGGAAGAGCCCUUGAUUUAUAUUCCUAAAACUAACAAUGCACGGCUGAAAUGAAGUGCUAUUGGGACCCUCCAAGAUGGUUGUUCAACAGGUG
Molecule: long non-coding RNA, 225 nt
Filed under: Theobroma cacao (cacao)
Lineage: Eukaryota; Viridiplantae; Streptophyta; Magnoliopsida; Malvales; Malvaceae
Description: long non-coding RNA (TCAC_LNC000998)
Source: RNAcentral